CCCUGGUUAGCUCAGUUGGUCGAGCGCUCCACUUGUAAUGGAGAGGUCCCGCGUUCGAUACUCGGACCAGGCG
Molecule: non-coding RNA, 73 nt
Organism: Ixodes scapularis (black-legged tick)
Lineage: Eukaryota; Metazoa; Arthropoda; Arachnida; Ixodida; Ixodidae
Source: Rfam